RNAcentral lists this ribosomal RNA (426 nucleotides) under uncultured bacterium. Its description in RNAcentral is "bacterial SSU rRNA". It matches the Rfam family "Bacterial small subunit ribosomal RNA", at positions 356 to 773 of the family's 1533-position model. The record is from RNAcentral.
UAAGAAUCUUCCGCAAUGGGGGAAACCCUGACGGAGCGACGCCGCGUGGACGAUGAAGGCCGUAAGGUUGUAAAGUCCUUUUGCAGGAGAAGAAUAAGGGUGGGAGUGGAAAGCCCAUCUGAUGACGUUAUCCUGCGAAUAAGCCCCGGCCAAUUACGUGCCAGCAGCCGCGGUAAUACGUAUGGGGCGAGCGUUGUUCGGAGUUAUUGGGCGUAAAGGGCGUGUAGGCGGCCCGAGAAGUCUGGUGUGAAAUCGCAGGGCCUAACCCUGCGGGUGCGCUGGAAACUGUCGGGCUGGAGUCCCGGGGGGGAAGCUGGAAUUCCUGGUGUAGGAGUGAAAUCUGUAGAGAUCAGGAAGAACACCGGUGGCGAAGGCGAGCUUCUAUUCGAGGACUGACGCUGAGGCGCGAAAGCGUGGGGAGCAAAC